This 482-nucleotide ribosomal RNA is filed under the name uncultured bacterium. RNAcentral describes it as "partial 16S ribosomal RNA". It matches the Rfam family "Bacterial small subunit ribosomal RNA", at positions 30 to 507 of the family's 1533-position model. The record is from RNAcentral.
AUUGAACGCUGGCGGCAUGCUUUACACAUGCAAGUCGAACGGUAACAGGCCGCAAGGUGCUGACGAGUGGCGAACGGGUGCGUAAUGCAUCGGAACGUGCCCAGUCGUGGGGGAUAACUACUCGAAAGAGUAGCUAAUACCGCAUACGAUCUAUGGAUGAAAGCGGGGGACCGUAAGGCCUCGCGCGAUUGGAGCGGCCGAUGUCAGAUUAGGUAGUUGGUGGGGUAAAGGCUCACCAAGCCAACGAUCUGUAGCUGGUCUGAGAGGACGACCAGCCACACUGGGACUGGGACACGGCCCAGACUCCUACGGGAGGCAGCAGUGGGGAAUUUUGGACAAUGGGCGCAAGCCUGAUCCAGCAAUGCCGCGUGCAGGAAGAAGGCCUUCGGGUUGUAAACUGCUUUUGUACGGAACGAAACGGCUCUGGUUAAUACCCGGGGCUAAUGACGGUACCGUAAGAAUAAGCACCGGCUAACUACGUG